This 255-nucleotide ribosomal RNA is filed under the name uncultured bacterium. RNAcentral's name for it is "partial 16S ribosomal RNA". It matches the Rfam family "Bacterial small subunit ribosomal RNA", at positions 524 to 776 of the family's 1533-position model. The record is from RNAcentral.
UACGGAGGGUGCAAGCGUUAUCCGGAUUCACUGGGUUUAAAGGGUGCGUAGGCGGGCAGGUAAGUCCGUGGUGAAAUCUCUGAGCUUAACUCAGAAACUGCCAUGGAUACUAUUUGUCUUGAAUAUUGUGGAGGUAAGCGGAAUAUGUCAUGUAGCGGUGAAAAUGCUUAGAUAUGACAUAGAACACCAAUUGCGAAGGCAGCUUACUACACAGUUAUUGACGCUGAGGCACGAAAGCGUGGGGGAUCAAACAGG